CUACAGAACGUGUCCUUUUUAUGUGUCCAUUCAAACGCAGGUAUGUGAGUUUUGUACACCAGUUUGUUUAUGUUUAAUGUUUCACAUUGUUUACUACCACUAUACGAUCAUUGAUGUGUUGUUGGAGAUUUAUAUACCGCGUGAGGAUCUUUUGAGAAACGUGUCCUUUUUAUGUGUCCAUUCAAACGCAGGUAUAAACAAACGCAGUGAAAUAAACCAAAGUAUUCACCAGCUCUGAGUGGUCUGUUGCCGAGGGGACACUACACCGGGGGUUAC
This is a long non-coding RNA of Notothenia coriiceps (black rockcod), 276 nucleotides long. RefSeq lists it as uncharacterized. The transcript is spliced from 3 exons. The record is from RefSeq and is a predicted model, not a curated record. Lineage: Eukaryota; Metazoa; Chordata; Actinopteri; Perciformes; Nototheniidae.